This 230-nucleotide ribosomal RNA is filed under the name uncultured Eubacteriaceae bacterium. Its description in RNAcentral is "partial 16S ribosomal RNA". It matches the Rfam family "Bacterial small subunit ribosomal RNA", at positions 934 to 1163 of the family's 1533-position model. The record is from RNAcentral. Lineage: Bacteria; Bacillati; Bacillota; Clostridia; Eubacteriales; Eubacteriaceae.
GGAGCAUGUGGUUUAAUUCGAAGCAACGCGAAGAACCUUACCAGGUCUUGACAUCCUCUGACAAUCUGAGAGAUCAGACUUUCCCUUCGGGGACAGAGAGACAGGUGGUGCAUGGUUGUCGUCAGCUCGUGUCGUGAGAUAUUGGGUUUAAGUCCCCGCAACGAGCGCAACCCCUGUGGUUAGUUGCCAUCAUUUAGUUGGGCACUCUAAGCAGACUGCCGUGGAUAACA